Molecule: long non-coding RNA, 570 nt
Organism: Ornithorhynchus anatinus (platypus)
Lineage: Eukaryota; Metazoa; Chordata; Mammalia; Monotremata; Ornithorhynchidae
Exons: 3
Source: RefSeq, a predicted model, not a curated record
UUCAUUGUUUUAGUCCCAUUAAGGGAAACUAGAGUUUGUCUACUUUGGACAAAACGUAUGUAUUUUCCAUUUUCAAUGUCUGAUGGCGUUUUAUUACUCUGGUGCCUAUCGAGAGCACUAAUCACUCAGUAAAAUGUCUCUCCGUUUCCAUGGUGUUGGGGGAAGACACAUGUCAAAAUAGUCUUCUAGAUUGACUGACUCUGAUUUACUCCCUAGAUUGAAUGGAUGGAUAAGGCGAGAGGGGUUGAUGCCUGGGAGAUUGUUGGGGAAAUCAAACAGGGCGAUCUUAUAAACGAGCAUUGACAGAGCAACUCCCCUUCAAGAGAAAAAAGCCCAGGUGUUUUUGUCUUGGUCUGAAGUUCACUUCCAGAUGUGGAGAGUGGUUGGCCUUACGCACACGGUCAUUCAGAGACGGGCUGGUUUCAGGCCAGUUUAAGGUUGCGGUCUUGCUUCUGUGUCUGCUUCCGGAAGGAGCUCACGUGACCUCUGGGGACCAGAAGGAUGAGUUCGCCUGCAGGAGGGGAGAUGAGGUAACUGAGGCACAGAGAAAUGAAGCGACUUGCCCGAAGC